AUUUCUGAGUCACGGCAUGGUGGUCUUUCUGCAGACCCGCUCACUUCUUCUGCUUUUGUGCCACUUGUGGAGCAGCGUGAGGCCCUCACCCAAAGCUGAGCAUGCACUGGCUCCACACACGCUCUUGGACUUCCAGGACUGUGAUCCAAAACCUCUUCCCUUUAUAAAUGACCUGCUCUCAGGUAUUCUGUUAUAGUAACAACAAGCAGAUUGAGAUACUACCAUUUGGUUUUGUUUGAGGCAGAAAAGUGCAACUUCAGGUGGUGGUGACCAUGCAGGGUAAUGUGACCAGUGGACAGACAGGUGUGUGGGCAUUGGUUUAGACAGGUGCCCAGGAAGGCCUACAGUGGGGUGGCCUCUGGGCCGACAUUGUGUAACAGGAAGGGGACGGCCCAGUGAGGAUGAGCAUGGUUACCCACGGCC
This 423-nucleotide long non-coding RNA is filed under the name Fukomys damarensis (Damara mole-rat). Its description in RNAcentral is "lncRNA (ENSFDAG00000026586.1)". Lineage: Eukaryota; Metazoa; Chordata; Mammalia; Rodentia; Bathyergidae. The record is from RNAcentral.